This 77-nucleotide transfer RNA is filed under the name Chitinispirillales bacterium. Its description in RNAcentral is "tRNA-Gln". It matches the Rfam family "tRNA". From Rfam's summary of the family: Transfer RNA (tRNA) molecules are approximately 80 nucleotides in length. Their secondary structure includes four short double-helical elements and three loops (D, anti-codon, and T loops). The record is from RNAcentral. Lineage: Bacteria; Pseudomonadati; Fibrobacterota; Chitinispirillia; Chitinispirillales.
AGGGGAAUAGUUCAGUUGGUCAGAACACGGGAUUCUGGUUCCCGGUGUCGAGGGUUCGAAUCCUUCUUCCCCUGCCA